GAUGAACGCUGGCGGCGUGCCUAAUACAUGCAAGUCGAGCGAACGGACGAGAAGCUUGCUUCUCUGAUGUUAGCGGCGGACGGGUGAGUAACACGUGGAUAACCUACCUAUAAGACUGGGAUAACUUCGGGAAACCGGAGCUAAUACCGGAUAAUAUUUUGAACCGCAUGGUUCAAAAGUGAAAGACGGUCUUGCUGUCACUUAUAGAUGGAUCCGCGCUGCAUCAGCUAGUUGGUAAGGUAACGGCUUACCAAGGCAACGAUGCAUAGCCGACCUGAGAGGGUGAUCGGCCACACUGGAACUGAGACACGGUCCAGACUCCUACGGGAGGCAGCAGUAGGGAAUAUUCCGCAAUGGGCGAAAGCCUGACGGAGCAACGCCGCGUGAGUGAUGAAGGUCUUCGGAUCGUAAAACUCUGUUAUUAGGGAAGAACAUAUGUGUAAGUAACUGUGCACAUCUUGACGGUACCUAAUCAGAAAGCCACGGCUAACUACGUG
RNAcentral lists this ribosomal RNA (497 nucleotides) under uncultured bacterium. RNAcentral describes it as "partial 16S ribosomal RNA". It matches the Rfam family "Bacterial small subunit ribosomal RNA", at positions 28 to 507 of the family's 1533-position model. The record is from RNAcentral.